Molecule: long non-coding RNA, 832 nt
Filed under: Rhinopithecus bieti (black snub-nosed monkey)
Lineage: Eukaryota; Metazoa; Chordata; Mammalia; Primates; Cercopithecidae
Description: lncRNA (ENSRBIG00000046360.1)
Source: RNAcentral
AAGUUAAAUGAAAAAUGGAUUGUGGAUUAUAGCCUGAGCAGAUUUGAGCCUAAAUGUAAUAUAACAACUUGUGGCAAAUGGAGGUGGCAGGAGAGUAGAGUCAACUAGCCAAAAAUCCCCUGGAAAGAAGAACCUCACAUACUUCCGGAAAACUGCAUGAAAAGUACAGAAAUUCAGUGUCCAGAUGUUUCAGAAUCCAGAUGGCCUAAGAAUCCUCUAUCACCCAGAAAGGAGGAAAAUGUGCAUGAAAGUGGAACAUUUAAAAGAAAAAAUAAUUUAGCUUUGGCUAUGUAGUGACAACAUACAGAGCUCGAGAAAAAGCUUCUUCUCCUAAAGCAGCAACUUAAUAAAAGGCAUGUUAUAGGCUUUAUCAAUAAGCCAAAAUUUCAGCCUUGCCUCUUCUUCCCAUUGCCAUUAAGAGGCUUGCAGAGGUCCACACUCUUUAAAGGGCAGACAGCAUGGAAGAACUAUCAUGUACAAUUUAAAGUAGCAGCUAAAAUUGGAAUGGUCACGAGAAAGCCUGUUUCUUUGCAAUUAAAUUGACAAGCUGUCUAUGAUUACCCUAGGGAACUUGGCAGCUGAGUGAUAAAAAGACUGCAGUGUGUUGAAAGGUCUAAUGCAACUUACUAGGUGGACAAAGACCACAUCUGCUUAAUAUACUGAUUGGGAGAGUUGUGGAAUGUACUUGGCUAUAUUAGCUGAGGAGAGAUGCUAAGGACACUUUUUCUUCUCUAAGACCCUGCUUAGAACCCAUUUUAGAAACUACCCACAAAUAUUUGGAAGCAUGUAUGAAAAAACAGUUUAGCACAAUAUCUGAUGUUAUUCAGCAUGA